GCUUGGCCAUGUCACAUGAUGGACAUGAUAUAAUGAAAUAGCAGGAAAACAGAGACGUAGUGUACCCUAAGCUGAUAAAAAAAAAUCUACGCACUCAUCUGCAAUAGCACCCGCGCAAUAGCCUCGGUGCAACUGGGGACCAAGUAGGGGACAGGGGCGGUCCAGAAUACGUCCCCAUCUGACGGGACAUGUCUGUUGAUUCGCGAUUGUACCUGCAGAUAUUACGCACUUUUUGAAGGCGAAGAUCCCUUUUAAGUACGUGUUUAUUCCAUCCAUCUACCUGGGAGGGGAAUCGGUGCGCAUCUCACGGCUUUAGGGAAUAUAAGGCUUUCCUCCAGCCAGUGAGCAAGGAUGAGAUUAUUGCUCCAAAGGCCCCUGAGAUCUAUCAGAAAGCAAAAGUCCUGGAUUCCAAAGAGAUCUGGAACAUUCUAAGGGACGAGUCGGAGUCCAAACUGGCUUGGACAGAGACAGCCAUUGACGUGCCCUCCGUGAUCAAGGUUUCCCUGAUACAACACACAGAACACAUCCUGUCACAAUGUCACACACCGUUACCAACCAUGACCUGUGUCAUCUUUAUAAGACAUUCAACCAAUGCAAACUCUGUUGUCUAGAAAAACAGUCAUAAACCAACAUGUAGAUUUCUAGAUACUUCCUUAGAUUAGAUUUGCACUCUUUCUU
This 678-nucleotide long non-coding RNA is filed under the name Salmo salar (Atlantic salmon). Its description in RNAcentral is "lncRNA (ENSSSAG00000120637.1)". The record is from RNAcentral. Lineage: Eukaryota; Metazoa; Chordata; Actinopteri; Salmoniformes; Salmonidae.